RNAcentral lists this ribosomal RNA (404 nucleotides) under uncultured prokaryote. RNAcentral describes it as "bacterial SSU rRNA". It matches the Rfam family "Bacterial small subunit ribosomal RNA", at positions 355 to 776 of the family's 1533-position model. RNAcentral also lists the same sequence under 1 other name. The record is from RNAcentral.
UGGGGAAUAUUGCGCAAUGGGGGAAACCCUGACGCAGCAACGCCGCGUGAAGGAUGAAGGUUUUCGGAUUGUAAACUUCUUUGAUUGGGGACGAUAAUGACGGUACCCAAAAAACAAGCCACGGCUAACUACGUGCCAGCAGCCGCGGUAAUACGUAGGUGGCAAGCGUUGUCCGGAUUUACUGGGUGUAAAGGGCGUGUAGGCGGGGAUGCAAGUCAGAUGUGAAAUUCCGGGGCUCAACCCCGGCGCUGCAUCUGAAACUGUAUCUCUUGAGUGCUGGAGAGGAAAGCGGAAUUCCUAGUGUAGCGGUGAAAUGCGUAGAUAUUAGGAGGAACACCAGUGGCGAAGGCGGCUUACUGGACGACAACUGACGUUGAGGCUCGAAAGCGUGGGUAGCAAACAGG